GGACGAACGCUGGCGGCGUGCUUAACACAUGCAAGUCGAGCGGUAAGGCCCUUUCGGGGGUACGACGAGCGGCGAACGGGUGAGUAACACGUGGGUGACCUGCCCUCAGCUCUGGGAUAAGCCUGGGAAACCGGGUCUAAUACUGGAUAUGACUCCAUGACGCAUGUUGUGGGGUGGAAAGCCUUGUGCGGCUGAGGAUGGGCCCGCGGCCUAUCAGCUUGUUGGUGGGGUGANGGCCUACCAAGGCGACGACGGGUAGCCGGCCUGAGAGGGCGACCGGCCACACUGGGACUGAGACACGGCCCAGACUCCUACGGGAGGCAGCAGUGGGGAAUCUUGCGCAAUGGGCGAAAGCCUGACGCAGCGACGCCGCGUGAGGGAUGACGGCCU
RNAcentral lists this ribosomal RNA (390 nucleotides) under uncultured bacterium. RNAcentral describes it as "bacterial SSU rRNA". It matches the Rfam family "Bacterial small subunit ribosomal RNA", at positions 27 to 417 of the family's 1533-position model. The record is from RNAcentral.